RNAcentral lists this long non-coding RNA (1887 nucleotides) under Musa acuminata (dwarf banana). RNAcentral describes it as "long non-coding RNA (MACU_LNC000205)". The record is from RNAcentral. Lineage: Eukaryota; Viridiplantae; Streptophyta; Magnoliopsida; Zingiberales; Musaceae.
GACUCUAAUUAGACUCAAGGCAUCUUCUAAAAGUAUCCUUGAAAUUACUGACAAGAAUACAUAUAAAUUUUUAGUUCUGGUAGGACUUGGAAAUUCAUGCCAAAGGAGGUCAGUUCCACCAAGAAUGAGAGCAACCUGAUGGGUCUUGACACAAGUGGAUUUGGGAUGGUCUGACUUGGCCUCAAUGCAGCUCAGUGUUGUCCAAACAGAAAGGUAAUGCUGCCACUGCCACAUCAUGUAAGGUUCAAUUUCCAUCAAUUCAGGAACAUAACUAUCCAGGAUAACAAAGAUCACCUUGUAAUAAGGUACUGACUAGAUGAUAAAAUCCAAUAAUAGACUCACCCAAGUUAUGUGGGGUAUAGUAAAAAACAGGGUCUUCCGAAUUUUAAUUAUUAGGUGUUAGAUUCCGUGGAGUCCAGGUUGAAUUUUGACUUUAUAAUGGUGCUAUCUGUACUGAGGUAGAGGUCUUUUGGUUGUCCUAACGGAAUAUGAAAAUGAUGUCAUUGUCAUGAGUAAAAUCAUGAUUCGCAGACCACUUCUCAAAAUUGACUCCAGAAUCUUGAAGAAAAUUUUAUCACGAUGUUUUGAUGUUAAAUAAGUACAAUAGCAUCUUGAGCUGAUUUGACGUAGUUAGGCAGGAUCUGAAGUAUGAAUCAUUACUAUUUAUGUUAUAUGACAUCAAUGGAUGCUAUUUCAGUUGCUGGACGCAUGCUAAUCCAUUGCAUGAUUGGUAUGGUUUCGGUCAGUGUCAACAUAUGGUAUGCCAGCACAUGCCGUGGUACCAAGAAGAGGGCAGUGGAGGAGGCAGCAGCAGAGGAAGAGGAGAAAAGGUAAAAGAUGAGGAUGAGAAGUACCAGAGAUGAGGCGAGCAGUCGGUGAGCGACGGAGAGCAGAGCAGAGAAUGGUAGUGGCAGUGGGUUGGAGUCCCCUCUCAAGUCCUAAGAGAUCCCUGCUGCAGCCUUAAAAGUAAAAGAAAAAAAAAAGAUCAACUGCCGCCAAAAGAAAAAGUGAAAAACUAUUCUGGACAGUUUGAAAUGGGGUGGUCCAUGCUUGGAACCAUAAAUACCGCGUGCUAUGGACCAGUCCAGGUGAAAUUGAGUUCCUUGUGCAACAUCAAUAAAUAAUAUGAUAAAAAAUAGGACAAAUGGAUUUGCAGCAUGCAAAGCAGAAAAUGAGGUAAGUAAAAAAAAUGGUCUUUUGUACAUAAAACAUCUUCUAAGAGUCUAAUUGCAUGUUUGCUCCCUCAAAAAGUGUCAAAUUAUCAUGGUGCACAUGUAAAAUUGGUUUCUUUAUGUGAUAAUUCCUACAAAUAUCAUGACAUGUCAGAAGUUGUUCAUUAUCAUAUGUAACAUCAUAUUUUAUCCCUAUGCAAGGAUACCCUACUAAUUUUUUUGAUGGCCACAUGUUCAAUUUAUAAAUACGAAAACAUUAUGAAAAAUUUAGAGGGACUUUAUGGGAAAGUUAAAUUUGGAUGUCUCAAUGGUCUAUUAUAUUGUUAGGUUAAACAGGGAUUUUACAUGUCAGCUGGGCCAUUUGUGCAAAGAAUUUAAAUAAAUUUAGGGUAUUAAGAUACUUUGACACUUUGAUGUAGAAGAUUUGUGAUUUGACAAUCUAGAUGGCCAUAUGUGCAAAGGACAUUUAUAAUAUAACCAAGGAACUAAUUUAUGAUAAUCUAGACUUGCUUCUGUUUCAGGAUCUCACAUGCAGAUUUUGUUGACACUAAGCUUGGAGCCUUGAGGGAAGAUGAAUGUAUGAAACUUAUUGUCUCAUCAACUUCUACAUCAAUCUCAUUGGAAGAAAAAGAAAAGAAAGUGUUCCUAUAUAUAAAUCAGGACUGUUAUUUCAUGAAAAUUCAGUAUGAGAAAGGACUGAGUUUCUGGAAAGCUG